This 399-nucleotide ribosomal RNA is filed under the name Triticum aestivum (bread wheat). Its description in RNAcentral is "partial small subunit ribosomal RNA". The record is from RNAcentral. Lineage: Eukaryota; Viridiplantae; Streptophyta; Magnoliopsida; Poales; Poaceae.
AUGGUGGCGUUAGAUGGCAACACUGCGACGGCCAACCCGGAGGUAGAAGGCGGCGCUGCGGCAGCCAUGGUGGAGCAUUGGAGCUGGACCGAAGCGUUGCGGCCAGAUCUACACGGCUGCAUCAUUGUCGCGGCUGUGAAAAGUGGAUACUUUGGUAUUUCAGACCACGUACGAGAAUCUCCGUCAGGUGGUAGGCCUAACUUCUAUGAUCAAGGAUGUCUGAGUAACUUUCUAGAAGUCUUCUGCACCAAGGUACAGGCUUCCAAGCACAAGUUCCAGACAUACAUACAAGAGGAAGUGAGAGCUCCACUAGCCAACCGUGUCGGGGAGGUAGAAGAUGAACCAGCUGGUGCUCGCCAUGCAAAAGUGGAAGAUGACCGGAUACUGGUGUUGAUCUUA